GACAAAUCACAAGGCAUUUGGUCUACUGUUGUGCAUUAGGAUCUACUGGAGAUUAACUGUCACACAACAAGGAUUAACAGAACAAAAAAUAUCCAGGUUCACGUAAUAACUUUAGAUACAGAAUGUGCAGAUAUCACUACAAUAGAUGAACUGAAGGCUUUCAGCAUCAAAAUAAUAUCUAUCUGGAGGAUAACAGCUGGUCUGAAAAUGCACAUUUCUAUAUGGCUUGUUAUAGUCGUGGCUACUGAGUUUUAAACGGCGUUGUUUUACUCCUUGCAACAUCUGGUCUACAACUUCAUUAAGGUUUAUGUGACAGGUAAUCGAAGACUAGGAAGUCACGUUUCUCGCCGUUAUGACUGGUUAGCUCAGGUGGAAUGUGGAUAAGCGAUACGCCAAACGUCAUUAAAGAUCUGGUAAUAUCUAGACGGCUCACUAACAUGGAAACAAACAACGCUUCGUAAAACACGACAGAAGAUGCUCCAAUGAGUCGUAGGAGAGGGAAGGAACAAAUGACCUAGGCAAUGUGGCUCAUAUACGACUUUAAGAUAAGCUUAUCGAUGAAAGAAUCUUGCGUGGACCCCAGUCUGGGUUCAGACCACACCUUGGAAGACAGGAGGCUGUUGGUGAGUCCACAUCUCUCUCCUCAGUGUUGCUGUUGUCUCUUCUUCUCUUCUUAACCCCCAGCCCUCAUCAGCUCAUUUUCUGACUGUUGUUUAGUAUCUGAUUGCAGUGAAGACUUUAUUGCCUGGAGUUCUACUUGACCAAAGUCAUUUAUGGGCUUUUCAUAAACUGAGUAAAUGUGUCACCUUAUAAAGAUUAAAUUUAAAAACGUAUUCAUUACUUCAGCAUCCAUUUCAGUUUGAAGUAACUUUUAGAUGUCUCUGCUUGUUUGCUAACCACUUUCAAGCACUCUGUCUCAAGAUGUGCUGUUCAGGUGCUACAGCUGACUGUAACACCUGAAACUGUGGAUAUGUCUUUGUUAUUCAAAUUAUAAUUGCUGCAUUGUCAAAGUAGUUAGUCUGCUCCAUAAUAUAUGCUGAAGUAGGCUGCCCCUUGUUGGAAGCCACUGGUGUAGAGAGUGUAUUCAUUUGUUUAUUCAUCCAUUAUCGGUACUGCUUAUCCUGACUGGCUGGAGCCAAUCUCAGCUGACAUUGGACGUUGUUUAUUCAUAUCUGGACAAUAAUAUUUUUUAAUGCACUGUAUCUGUCCAGGUUUUAAUUGAAACUACUAGACAACAGGUGGCACUGUUUACUGAUGUGUCUAUUAAACAUGCUUCAGGGAUUAGAGUGGAAUUAAAGUGCAUUUCCUCCCUGUCAUUUUAAAGACUAAAAGUUCUAACUCAACUAAUAUGUUUAUUAAUGCAGGUUUUUUCAGUUUUAUCUGCUCAGGCUUUGAAAGAUGUCUGAGAAUGAUGUUACAACCCAUGUUUAGUGGAAGUGAACUGAAUGUGUGGUGCUCAAAGCAAUAAAACUAAAAUUUAAAAAUUCAACAGCAACAUCCACAAACAGUGCCUCUGUUCCUUUUGAUAAUUCACAAACUGCAUGGUACAGCUUUCACCGGAAACUCUCUGUUCAAGAACUAGCCCCAGUAUGAAACAAUAAAAGUGUUGGUGUAUGUCUGGCUAAACUAGGAUAGGGUCCCUGGGAAAGAGAGGGAGGGCUGUUUCAGAGCAGAUGAGUGACACAGGAUGACCGGAUGUGUUUUUUUGUUUUUCAUUGCUAGAGGCUAGACCAGGAAACUGGAGCUCCUCAUCACACAACAGAACCGUAUUUGAUUUCAAAAGGGUUAGUUCAUCCAAAUUACAAAACCCUCUCAGAUGGUCUCUAGUUGUUGGGAGGUGAUUUGUUUUGACUGAAACUGGUUCUGAUGAAAACCGCAGUGACAACAGUAUGUGAACAUAAGAUUAAAGAACCAUUAUAUCUUCAAAGACAUUUUGCCAUUAGAUCAUUUUAGAGCUGACACCAUAAGCCCAUUAAUCACUUCGCUGCUCAACAAAUAAUUAGUCAGCAUCACAUGACAUUUCAGGAAACGGUAAUGGACAUUG
Molecule: long non-coding RNA, 2044 nt
Organism: Monopterus albus (swamp eel)
Lineage: Eukaryota; Metazoa; Chordata; Actinopteri; Synbranchiformes; Synbranchidae
Exons: 3
Source: RefSeq, a predicted model, not a curated record